Molecule: non-coding RNA, 276 nt
Organism: Pelobates cultripes (western spadefoot toad)
Lineage: Eukaryota; Metazoa; Chordata; Amphibia; Anura; Pelobatidae
Source: the annotation of a GenBank genome assembly
CCCCUUUAUCCAAGUGUCUCUCUCAGCCUUGCUUUCCAAAGCUACAAAUUACACUUGCUGUUAGAAGAUACAGGAAUAGUGCUGCCCUUCAGAGGAAAUCAAUGACUAUGGCAAUUCUUUCUGCCUAGUUUGCAAAGACAGGGAAAUCCACUAUUGGGGUAAUGAUUUUAUCUAUAUAAAAUAUUAAUUGAUACAUUUUUUGCGAAAGAAUUGCGUUAUUUGAUUUCCUUAAUGUGAAUUACACAUUCUCCUGUUGACAACAAUUCAUGAGAAGGG